AAAAUCUUCCUUUCCUUUAUUAUUGAAAUAAUUCUCUCCGCCCCCGCCGGCCCCACUCCCCGGGCAGGCUGCACAGAGCGCCAAGGAAAUCCGUCCUCCCAGCCAGACGCCAGCGGCCUUCUGCUGCGCUCCGUAACUAACUCCCCGGAAACCCUGCGUUUGUUCUGGCUGCCCCCUUUGACUGUGAUAAUAACUAGAACUUCAACCCUCUCACUUUCUUACGCCUCCUUUUGUGACAGUGAAAGCACCAAAAUUUCCGCGUAGGAGGGACUCAGGGACAACGAUGCAAUUGGAAGGCUCUGGAAGAUGCCUACCGGGUGCCUGCCAGGAGGGCCGGGCCCUGUUCUCACCACUGCUCUGAAUGGUCGCCACAGAGAAUGGUCCCUGCUCUAAGGGAGCCCAUGUUCCGCUUGGGGAAGGCAACCAGCAAGAUCUAAAGCACAGUCACGCAUCACUGAGUGACAGGGACAUGUCCUGUGAAAUGCAUGGUGAGGUGAUGUUGUCAUUGUGUGGACGUCCCAGAGUGCACUACACAAACCUGGAUGGGGUCGCCUACUGCACAUCUAGGCUGCAUGUAGCCCGUGGCUCCUAGACUGCAGACCCAGACAGCAUGUUACUGCCCCGAAUGCCGCAGGCAGCUGGAACCCAGUGGUUAAGUAUCCGUGUACCUAAACACAUCUCAACUUAGAAAAGGUACAGUAAAAAUAUAGUAUUAUCAUUGAUGGGACCACUGUCACCACUGCACACUGCCUUGGACCGAAACAUUAUACAGUGCAUGGUUGUCGAUGAUGGAGAUUGAGAUUUGUGCACUGGAGAAAAUAAAGCAAGGUGGGCUGAGAGUGGGAGGCCCGCAGGGCAGGGCACUUUGGAGCAGGUUGUCAGGAAAUGCCUCCCUGAAGAGGGCGCAUUUGCACUGAAAGCCAAGUGACAAGAAGAAACUGCCAUGCACGGAUCUGGGGGCUAGAGGGUGGGACAGGAGGGACAGCAAGAGCAAAGGCACUGGGGACGGAGGGGCUUCAUGGGCAGCGGGGAGCUCCGCAGGAGCCCGCUGGGUCUGGCUUGCAAGCUCUCUGGCCCUUUGCUGGACACCCCAGAGCAAGCCAGCCCCUGCCUGGGACUCCCUGAACACACUGCCCCCAGAGAACCAGAGGCAGAGGGGCUGGCUCGCCUGAGUUCCACAGGAAAGACAGACUGUCCUGAGAACAGACAGUGGCUCAUUUUCAUCACUGUUCCUCAAACAAGUAGAUUUUGUUUUAAAGCAAACAAAUAAACAGAGUUGUCAAGUUGGU
Molecule: non-coding RNA, 1289 nt
Organism: Macaca mulatta (Rhesus monkey)
Lineage: Eukaryota; Metazoa; Chordata; Mammalia; Primates; Cercopithecidae
Source: RefSeq, a predicted model, not a curated record